UACGUAGGGUGCGAGCGUUGUCCGGAAUUAUUGGGCGUAAAGAGCUCGUAGGCGGUCUGUCGCGUCUGCUGUGAAAUCCCGAGGCUCAACCUCGGGCCUGCAGUGGGUACGGGCAGACUAGAGUGCGGUAGGGGAGAUUGGAAUUCCUGGUGUAGCGGUGGAAUGCGCAGAUAUCAGGAGGAACACCGGUGGCGAAGGCGGGUCUCUGGGCAACAACUGACGCUGAGGAGCGAAAGCGUGGGGAGCGAACAGG
RNAcentral lists this ribosomal RNA (253 nucleotides) under uncultured bacterium. RNAcentral describes it as "partial 16S ribosomal RNA". It matches the Rfam family "Bacterial small subunit ribosomal RNA", at positions 524 to 776 of the family's 1533-position model. The record is from RNAcentral.